GUCUUAUUGAAAUUAUAAUUUUAAGUCAAUCUGCCCAAUGAUUUUAAAUUAAAUGGCUGCAGUAUAAUUAACUGUACAAAGGUAGCAUAAUCAAUUGUUUUUUAAUUAAAAACUAGAAUGAAAGAAUUAAUGAGAUAUAUACUGUCUCAUAUAUAUUUAAUAAAUUUAAAUUUUUAGUAAAAAUGCUUAAAUUAUUUUAUGGGACGAUAAGACCCUAUAGAAUUUUAUAUUAAUAUUUAAUUAAUUAUUUAAUUAUAAUAUUAAUAUUUAAUUGGGAGGAUUAAUAAAUUUAAUAAACUUUAUUUUUAAAGUAAACUUUAAUUUUAGAAUACAUGAUUUUGAUCUUAUAUUAUAAAUUAAAAAAAUAAAUUACCUUAGGGAUAACAGCGUAAUAUCUUUUUAAAGAUCAUAUUAAUAAAGAUGUUUGCGACCUCGAUGUUGAAUUAAGAUAUAUUUUAGGUGAAGAAAUCUAAAUAUUAAGUCUGUUCGACUUUUUAAAUCUUACAUGAUUUGAGUUCAAAUCGACGUGAGU
RNAcentral lists this ribosomal RNA (532 nucleotides) under Bombus filchnerae. Its description in RNAcentral is "partial 16S ribosomal RNA". The stretch from base 380 to 532 matches the Rfam family "Bacterial large subunit ribosomal RNA", at positions 2473 to 2626 of the family's 2925-position model. Lineage: Eukaryota; Metazoa; Arthropoda; Insecta; Hymenoptera; Apidae. The record is from RNAcentral.